AAGUCGUACGCUUCUUUUUCCCCGGAGCUUGCUCCACCGGAAAAAGAAGAGUGGCGAACGGGUGAGUAACACGUGGGUAACCUGCCCAUCAGAAGGGGAUAACACUUGGAAACAGGUGCUAAUACCGUAUAACAAUCGAAACCGCAUGGUUUUGAUUUGAAAGGCGCUUUCGGGUGUCGCUGAUGGAUGGACCCGCGGUGCAUUAGCUAGUUGGUGAGGUAACGGCUCACCAAGGCCACGAUGCAUAGCCGACCUGAGAGGGUGAUCGGCCACAUUGGGACUGAGACACGGCCCAAACUCCUACGGGAGGCAGCAGUAGGGAAUCUUCGGCAAUGGACGAAAGUCUGACCGAGCAACGCCGCGUGAGUGAAGAAGGUUUUCGGAUCGUAAAACUCUGUUGUUAGAGAAGAACAAGGAUGAGAGUAACUGUUCAUCCCUUGACGGUAUCUAACCAGAAAGCCACGGCUAACUACGUGCCAGCAGCCGCGGUAAUACGUAGGUGGCAAGCGUUGUCCGGAUUUAUUGGGCGUAAAGCGAGCGCAGGCGGUUUCUUAAGUCUGAUGUGAAAGCCCCCGGCUCAACCGGGGAGGGUCAUUGGAAACUGGGAGACUUGAGUGCAGAAGAGGAGAGUGGAAUUCCAUGUGUAGCGGUGAAAUGCGUAGAUAUAUGGAGGAACACCAGUGGCGAAGGCGGCUCUCUGGUCUGUAACUGACGCUGAGGCUCGAAAGCGUGGGGAGCAAACAGGAUUAGAUACCCUGGUAGUCCACGCCGUAAACGAUGAGUGCUAAGUGUUGGAGGGUUUCCGCCCUUCAGUGCUGCAGCUAACGCAUUAAGCACUCCGCCUGGGGAGUACGACCGCAAGGUUGAAACUCAAAGGAAUUGACGGGGGCCCGCACAAGCGGUGGAGCAUGUGGUUUAAUUCGAAGCAACGCGAAGAACCUUACCAGGUCUUGACAUCCUUUGACCACUCUAGAGAUAGAGCUUCCCCUUCGGGGGCAAAGUGACAGGUGGUGCAUGGUUGUCGUCAGCUCGUGUCGUGAGAUGUUGGGUUAAGUCCCGCAACGAGCGCAACCCUUAUUGUUAGUUGCCAUCAUUCAGUUGGGCACUCUAGCAAGACUGCCGGUGACAAACCGGAGGAAGGUGGGGAUGACGUCAAAUCAUCAUGCCCCUUAUGACCUGGGCUACACACGUGCUACAAUGGGAAGUACAACGAGUCGCGAAGUCGCGAGGCUAAGCUAAUCUCUUAAAGCUUCUCUCAGUUCGGAUUGUAGGCUGCAACUCGCCUACAUGAAGCCGGAAUCGCUAGUAAUCGCGGAUCAGCACGCCGCGGUGAAUACGUUCCCGGGCCUUGUACACACCGCCCGUCACACCACGAGAGUUUGUAACACCCGAAGUCGGUGAG
This 1402-nucleotide ribosomal RNA is filed under the name Enterococcus durans. RNAcentral's name for it is "bacterial SSU rRNA". It matches the Rfam family "Bacterial small subunit ribosomal RNA", at positions 59 to 1434 of the family's 1533-position model. The record is from RNAcentral. Lineage: Bacteria; Bacillati; Bacillota; Bacilli; Lactobacillales; Enterococcaceae.